Molecule: ribosomal RNA, 484 nt
Filed under: uncultured bacterium
Lineage: Bacteria
Description: partial 16S ribosomal RNA
Rfam family: Bacterial small subunit ribosomal RNA
Source: RNAcentral
AUUGAACGCUGGCGGCAUGCUUUACACAUGCAAGUCGAACGGCAGCGCGGGCUUCGGCCUGGCGGCGAGUGGCGAACGGGUGAGUAAUACAUCGGAACGUGCCCAGUCGUGGGGGAUAGCUCGGCGAAAGCCGGAUUAAUACCGCAUACGACCUGAGGGUGAAAGCGGGGGAUCUUCGGACCUCGCGCUAUUGGAGCGGCCGAUGGCAGAUUAGCUAGUUGGUUGGGUAAAGGCCUACCAAGGCGACGAUCUGUAGCUGGUCUGAGAGGACGACCAGCCACACUGGGACUGAGACACGGCCCAGACUCCUACGGGAGGCAGCAGUGGGGAAUUUUGGACAAUGGGCGAAAGCCUGAUCCAGCAAUGCCGCGUGUGUGAUGAAGGCCUUCGGGUUGUAAAGCACUUUUGGCGGGAACGAAAAGGACUGUGCCAAUACCACGGUUCGAUGACGGUACCCGCAGAAUAAGCACCGGCUAACUACGUG